GCGGGUGUGGCGGAACCGGUAGACGCGCCAGAUUCAAAAUCUGGUUCAGGCAACUGAGUGGGAGUUCAAGUCUCCCCACCCGCACCA
This 87-nucleotide transfer RNA is filed under the name Hyphomicrobiales bacterium. RNAcentral's name for it is "tRNA-Leu". It matches the Rfam family "tRNA". Rfam says of the family: Transfer RNA (tRNA) molecules are approximately 80 nucleotides in length. Their secondary structure includes four short double-helical elements and three loops (D, anti-codon, and T loops). RNAcentral also lists the same sequence under 4 other names. Lineage: Bacteria; Pseudomonadati; Pseudomonadota; Alphaproteobacteria; Hyphomicrobiales. The record is from RNAcentral.